This 347-nucleotide unclassified non-coding RNA is filed under the name uncultured Glomeromycotina. Its description in RNAcentral is "sequence contains ITS2". The stretch from base 1 to 146 matches the Rfam family "5.8S ribosomal RNA". Lineage: Eukaryota; Fungi; Glomeromycota. The record is from RNAcentral.
AACUUUUAGCAACGGAUCUCUUGGCUCUUGCAACGAUGAAGAACGCAGUAAAGUGCGAUAUGUAGUGCGAUUUGCAUGAAUCUGUGAGUCAUCUAAUUUUUGAACGCAACUUGCGCCUUUUACGAGGCAUGUCUGUUUGAGUGCCGUAAUCUUCUGCAGCAAUGCGAUUUGACUCUUGUCUUUGUUGACCGAGUUUAAAAGAAGCUAGAGGAUGGUCAGUUUGGACUAGUCCGAGUGCUAAGCAUUCUUGGGUCUAGUGCUAGAUUGUUCAUUACAAUUAUUUUUAUUUUGGCCUCAAAUCAGGCAAGACUACCCGCUGAAUUUAAGCAUAUCAAUAAGCGGAGGCU